GAUGAACGUUGGCGGUGCGCUUUAUGCAUGCAAGUCGUACGGAGCCGUAGUUUUCGGAUUACGGUUCAGUGGCGGACGGCUGAGUAACACGUAGGUAACUUGCCCACGAGCGGGGGAUAACUUGCCGAAAGGUAGGCUAAUACCGCAUGACAUGGAUUUGCUAAAGCAGAUUCAUCAAAGCCGUAAGGCACUUGUGGAUAGGCCUGCGGCCGAUUAGCUAGUUGGCGGGGUAACGGCCCACAAGGCAGUGAUCGGUAGCUGGUCUGAGAGGAUGUCCAGCCAGAUGGGGACUGAGACACGGCCCCAACACCUACGGGUGGCAG
RNAcentral lists this ribosomal RNA (323 nucleotides) under uncultured Chloroflexota bacterium. RNAcentral describes it as "bacterial SSU rRNA". It matches the Rfam family "Bacterial small subunit ribosomal RNA", at positions 28 to 351 of the family's 1533-position model. The record is from RNAcentral. Lineage: Bacteria; Bacillati; Chloroflexota.